UACAUGGUUGAUCCUGCCAGUAGUCAUAUGUUUGUCUCAAAGAGUAAGCCAUUCAUAUGUAAGUAUGAACAAAUUCAGACUGUGGAAUAGAGAAAGGCUCAUUAAAUCAGUUAUAGUUUGUUUGAUGGUAUCCACUACUCAGAUAACUAUAGUAAUUCUAGAGCUAAUACGAGCAACAAACCCCAACUUCUGGAAGGGAUGCAUUUAUUAGAUAAAAGGUGAAUGCGGGCUUUCCCCGAUGAUGCAAUGAUUCAUGAUAAAUCAAUAGUUCGCAUGGCCAUCAUACCAGCGAUGCAUCAUUCAAAUUUUUGCCCUAUCAACUUUCAAUGGUAGGUAGUGGCCUACCAUAGUUGUAACGGGUGAUGGAAAAUUAGGGUUUAAUUAUGGAGAGGGAGCUUAAGAAAUAGCUACCACAUCCAAGGAAGGCAGCAGGCAUGCAAAUUACCCUAUCCUAACACGGGGAGGUAGUGACAAUAAAUAAUAAUAUCGGGCUCAAUGAGUCUGAUAAUUGGAAUGAGUACAAUCUAAAUCCCUUAACGAGGAUACAUUGGAGGGCAAGUCUGGUGCUAGCACCCGCGGUAAUUCCAGCUUUGAUAUCAUAUAUUUAAGUUGUUGUAGUUAAAAAACUAGUAUUUGGACUUUAGGUUGGGCUGGCUGGUCCGCCUAUGGUGUGCAUCGGUGGUCUUGUCCUUUCUGUCGGCGCUGCACUCAUGGCCUUAACUAGAUGGGUCGUGCCUCCGGCGCUGUUACUUUGAAGAAAUUAGAGUGCUCAAAGCAAUCCUACGCUCUAUAUACAUUAGUAUGGGAUAAUAUUAUAGGAUUUCUGUCCUAUUACGUUGGCCUUCGGGAUUGGAAUAAUAAUUAACAGGGACAGUCGGGGGCAUAUGUAUUUCAUAAUCAGAUGCAAAAUUCUUGGAUUUAUGAAAGAUGAAAAACUACGAAAGCAUUUGCCAAGGAUGUUUUCAUCAAUCAAGAAUGAAAGUUAGGGGCUCAAAGAUAAUCAGAUAUCGUCCUAGUCUCAACCAUAAAUGAUGUCGACCAAGGAUUGACAGAUGUUGCUUUUAGAACUCUGCCAGCAUGUUUUUAGAAAUCAAAGUUUUCAGGUUCUGGGGGGGUUAUUGUCGCAAGGCUGAAACAUAAAGGAAUUGACCGAAGGGCACCACCAGUAGUUGAGCCUGCGGCAUAAUUUGACUCUACACGGAGAAACUUACCAGGUCAAGACAUAGUAAGGAUUGGCAGAGUGAGAUCUCUUUCUCGAUUCUAUGGGUAGUGGUGCAUGGUCGCUCUUAGUUGGUGGAUUAAUUUGUUUAGUUAAUUUCGUUAACGAAUGAGGCCUCAAUCUUCUAACUAGCAGUGCAGAGGUAUCCCUUCGCGACCAGCUUCUUAGAGGGACUACAUCUUUUUAAGACACAAAAGUUUAAGGAAAUAACAGGUCUGUGAUGCCUUUAGAUAUUCUGGGCCGCACGCAUACUACACUGAUGUAUUCAAUGAGUUUAUAGCCUUGGCUGACAGACUUGGGUAAUCUUUGAAAUUUAUCGUGAUGUGGAUAGAUCAUUGUAAUUGUUAGUUUUCAACGAGGAAUUUCUAGUAAGCGUGAGUCAUCAUCAUGCGUUGACUACGUCCCUUCCCUUUGUACACACCGAUCAUUGCUCCUAUCAAUUGAAUAAUUUGGUUAAAUAUUUGCAACAUGAUGAUAUGGAUGGUUUGCUACUCAUGAUAUCGCGAGAAGUCGAUUGAACCUUAUCAUUUAGAGGAAGGAGAAGUCGAAACAAGAUUUUCUUAGGUGAACCUGCGAAAGGAUUAUUG
Non-coding RNA from Capsicum annuum, 1806 nucleotides. The record is from Rfam. NCBI's taxonomy places the organism in Eukaryota, Viridiplantae, Streptophyta, Magnoliopsida, Solanales, Solanaceae.